RNAcentral lists this ribosomal RNA (482 nucleotides) under uncultured bacterium. RNAcentral describes it as "bacterial SSU rRNA". It matches the Rfam family "Bacterial small subunit ribosomal RNA", at positions 30 to 507 of the family's 1533-position model. The record is from RNAcentral.
AUUGAACGCUGGCGGCAUGCCUUACACAUGCAAGUCGAACGGCAGCGGACCUUCGGGUGCCGGCGAGUGGCGAACGGGUGAGUAAUAUAUCGGAACGUACCUUCAGGUGGGGGAUAACGUAGCGAAAGUUACGCUAAUACCGCAUAUUCUGUGAGCAGGAAAGCAGGGGAUCGCAAGACCUUGCGCUGAUUGAGCGGCCGAUAUCAGAUUAGCUAGUUGGUGAGGUAAAGGCUCACCAAGGCGACGAUCUGUAGCGGGUCUGAGAGGAUGAUCCGCCACACUGGAACUGAGACACGGUCCAGACUCCUACGGGAGGCAGCAGUGGGGAAUUUUGGACAAUGGGCGCAAGCCUGAUCCAGCCAUGCCGCGUGAGUGAAGAAGGCCUUCGGGUUGUAAAGCUCUUUCGGCCGGGAAGAAAUCGCACAGGUUAAUACCCUGUGUGGAUGACGGUACCGGAAUAAGAAGCACCGGCUAACUACGUG